UGUCCUACAUUUCAUUAUUAGUGAUUGAC
RNAcentral lists this non-coding RNA (29 nucleotides) under Rattus norvegicus (Norway rat). The record is from RNAcentral. Lineage: Eukaryota; Metazoa; Chordata; Mammalia; Rodentia; Muridae.